GAUGAACGCUAGCGGCAGGCUUAACACAUGCAAGUCGAGGGGUAUUGGUUUUCGGACCAAGAGACCGGCGCACGGGUGCGUAACGCGUAUGCAAUCUACCUUUUGCAGAGGGAUAGCCCCAGAGAAAUUUGGAUUAAUACCUCAUAGUAUAGUACUUUGGCAUCAAGGAACUAUUAAAGUCACAACGGCAAAGAUGAGCAUGCGUCCCAUUAGCUAGUUGGUAAGGUAACGGCUUACCAAGGCUACGAUGGGUAGGGGUCCUGAGAGGGAGAUCCCCCACACUGGUACUGAGACACGGACCAGACUCCUACGGGAGGCAGCAGUGAGGAAUAUUGGACAAUGGGCGCAAGCCUGAUCCAGCCAUGCCGCGUGCAGGAUGACGGUCCUAUGGAUUGUAAACUGCUUUUUGUACAGGAAGAAACACUACUUCGUGAAGUAGCUUGACGGUACUGUAAGAAUAAGGAUCGGCUAACUCGUGCCAGCAGCCGA
RNAcentral lists this ribosomal RNA (489 nucleotides) under uncultured bacterium. RNAcentral's name for it is "bacterial SSU rRNA". It matches the Rfam family "Bacterial small subunit ribosomal RNA", at positions 28 to 518 of the family's 1533-position model. The record is from RNAcentral.